This 698-nucleotide long non-coding RNA is filed under the name Homo sapiens (human). RNAcentral's name for it is "non-protein coding lnc-MC3R-7:1". Lineage: Eukaryota; Metazoa; Chordata; Mammalia; Primates; Hominidae. The record is from RNAcentral.
GUUCACGCCAUUCUCCUGCCUCAGUCUCCCAAGUAGCUGGGACUACAGGUACAGGCGUGAGCCACCGCGCCCAGCCCACAUUUAAAAUAUUUUUUAAAAAAGAAAGGGUUUCUGAGUAGAUCAUCCAAUAGUGAUCUAUCACAUUCACACUUCUUCUCCAUAGUUUACUCUUAAUUAAAGUUUAAAAAGUGGCAUUGAUUGAACAGCAAUCUCCCUUUUUUGUUAUACUGAUCCGACUCUAAAAAUCACUUACUCCAAGGUGUUUAAAGGAAAGUAUUUUCCUACAACAUGACCACUAAAACAAGCCAACCACUUAAUCUGAUGUUCAGCUGAAGAAACAGCAAUCUGUUUUGACACUGAAAGGAAAACUGGCUGCGGUGAGCUCUCUGAGAGCUGGUGUACCAGACACCAUGGUGAGAACUAUUCUCCUACGCUCUUCUCAUGGUUUUAUGUGCCUUUCAUUCCUAGUGGUUACCAGAGUUGAGAUGUUACAUUUAUUUGUCUUAUUUGACUGAAAGAAUCUUCCCAGCCAAUAAUAAGCUCCAUGAGGGCAGAGGGAGAGACAGACAGACAACCUAAUGUUUUGCUAAUUCUUCCCUAAAAUUGGGUUUUUAAGUAUCUACUGACUAUUGCUUAUGCAUCUAAGGGUCAGCUUGGAAGUUUGGUCUGUAAUGUGCUUCAUGACACUUCUGAGAUCA